This 200-nucleotide long non-coding RNA is filed under the name Carica papaya (papaya). Its description in RNAcentral is "long non-coding RNA (CPAP_LNC009442)". The record is from RNAcentral. Lineage: Eukaryota; Viridiplantae; Streptophyta; Magnoliopsida; Brassicales; Caricaceae.
GAAACAAAAAAGAAAAAAGUGGAAUGAAGCCUUGCAUUAAGUGUCUCAUUAGACUUUUUAUCUCUGAGGGGUAUCUAUUUCUCCCUCCCCUAUCUGGUCUUGAAAGACGUAAGAGGACUGCUCCUAGUGAAUGGCGGCGUGCCCUCUGACGAGAGUGGUAUCGCACUAUCUGUAGGGGUCACCUGUGGUUAAGUAAUGCC